RNAcentral lists this long non-coding RNA (907 nucleotides) under Vombatus ursinus (common wombat). Its description in RNAcentral is "lncRNA (ENSVURG00010009805.1)". The record is from RNAcentral. Lineage: Eukaryota; Metazoa; Chordata; Mammalia; Diprotodontia; Vombatidae.
CACAGAACUAAAAAAAAAAAAAAUAUCAUACCAGGGAUUCUUUGAAAAAUCAGAUUAAAGUUUCUGACACAGGGUGUGUGGGCUUGUUGCUUUAGUUCUCCACAGGAUGGUGGAACACUAGAGUCUGCCCGAGAGGAGAAACUUAGAAACCCCCUCCCGCCAGCCGCCCAUGAAAAAGCAAGAAGGGUGGGGUAGAGAAGGGGUAAGAGGGGGAUAGGGGGAAGAGAGAAGCAACGAGAGAAAAUGAGGGGAUGGGGGGAGCUAGUGGGGUGGCUGCCAUUAACCUGUGUGCAUAGUAUUACCAUACAGUAUGUCCUGUGUACAACUGCGAACGAAGGAUAGGCUUUUAGUAGAGGAAAAGCAGCAGCUCCACACGUUCCUGUCUGAAGGAUGGUCCAGAAACCCCAGACGUCUCGUCGCCUUCUCAUUUCCACCUCUGAGAGAACUAGAGAAGAUCAUUUCAUGUUGACGGACUUAGGGGGAAAUGUGCAAAUGUUUAUGGGAGCAGAAAAAUAAAAAGACAAAUGUGGAUUCAAGUGGAUGCAGAAAGAUGGUCCCUGGAAGGAGGAAGAGUCCUCAAGAAGAAUCAGAGAGGACCUCAGGCUAUGGACUCAAGAAAGGACUUCUAAUAAACAGGAGUUAUCAUCAUAUGACAUGGACUCAGGGCCCUUCACCAUUAAGCAACUACAUACUGUGCUUUCUUUCUUCCAGAAGAAUGCAACAGAAGAGUGCUAGUUCUGAAAUCUUAUAAGGGCAAGAUUACCUUGAAACACUGACACGACAUUCUUGCAAGACAUGUGAAUAUGAAGACCUUCAUUUUGACACUGCUGCUAACCACAUCCAGAGGCUUCGGGAAUUCUAUUUUGCUACCCACCACCCACUCCCUGCAAAUCAAUCAACCUUUAUC